CCGGCGCACGGGUGAGUAACACGUAUGCAAUCCACCUGUAACGGGGGGAUAACCCGGAGAAAUCCGGACUAAUACCCCAUAAUAUGGGCGCUCCGCAUGGAGAGCCCAUUAAAGAGAGCAAUUUUGGUUACAGACGAGCAUGCGCUCCAUUAGCCAGUUGGCGGGGUAACGGCCCACCAAAGCGACGAUGGAUAGGGGUUCUGAGAGGAAGGUCCCCCACAUUGGAACUGAGACACGGUCCAA
RNAcentral lists this ribosomal RNA (243 nucleotides) under uncultured bacterium. Its description in RNAcentral is "partial 16S ribosomal RNA". It matches the Rfam family "Bacterial small subunit ribosomal RNA", at positions 95 to 334 of the family's 1533-position model. The record is from RNAcentral.